CUCUAGAUUGCCUCUCUAGCCAUGUGACUUGACUGAACCAAUGAAAUGUAAGUAGACGUGACAUGAGUCGCUUCCAAGCAGAAGCUGCAAAAAACAACUCAUGUUUUUUCUCCCUCUCUUCCCCCUCUGCCACAAGAGCAACAUCAACCCAUAUGGAGCUGCUCAUUAGCCUGGAUUCUGGACUCAAGAUACUGAAGAGCUGAGUGCCAGCUGAUCUAUAAUGGGCAUGCAAUCAAUCAGCAAGACAAUUCAAGCCCUGAUUGGUAGAGCUUGCCAAUUUCUAUUGUGUGAAUACUGUCUCUACGGCCAAUUUCAAGCUACCGAUGUGUCCUCACUGAAUACAGUGCUAGGAAGUGAUGCUGGGAAGAAAUGCCCUCCCACGUGUAAGCGCAAUAGACGUACAUAACCUCAAAAGCAUAAGUAAUAGUAGAAUGAUGAGACACGGUAAGUUUUAGUUACUUUUGGAUAUCUA
This 472-nucleotide long non-coding RNA is filed under the name Equus caballus (horse). Its description in RNAcentral is "lncRNA (ENSECAG00000055364.1)". The record is from RNAcentral. Lineage: Eukaryota; Metazoa; Chordata; Mammalia; Perissodactyla; Equidae.